Phalaenopsis equestris is the source of this 220-nucleotide long non-coding RNA. RefSeq lists it as uncharacterized. The record is from RefSeq and is a predicted model, not a curated record. The transcript is spliced from 3 exons. Lineage: Eukaryota; Viridiplantae; Streptophyta; Magnoliopsida; Asparagales; Orchidaceae.
UUACGAUCGCCGGAUAUUCCAUCUUCUUACAGGAGAUUCAAGCAGUCCUUGCGUUCUCAGUGUUAACUGCGGUGAAGUUUGUCAGAGAGGAAACUUGGGAGGCUUUCAUUGCUGAUCUCUUAUUCUAUUCUAAGGUCUUCCUUUUUGCAGUUACUCUGAAUAUUGAUUAUCAUGCAGCUUUCUGCUACUCAGUGGCUUUUGCAGGUAUGUUUAAUAUUGA